GUAGGGCUGUGCGAUAUGUCUGAAAAACGAAUAGCAAUAUAAGUGUUUUAAAAUCAGCAGUUAUCAUUAGUUAUUGAUACAUAUUUUUGUUUUAAAUAUCUGAAAUACUGCCAAUCUGGUGAUGUGAGGUUUCCUAUUUUAUCCAGUUUCUUAAACUGCUGCUGCGCAUAUUACGCAACAGGUUGUUGCUAGGUAACCAGAGUGAGUUAGCUCAUGCCACCAAUCUAGUUUAGCUAGCGGUAAAAUAUAGAGCGCCCAAAGCGCUUGCUUUGUCUACAUCCCCCAGAAUGCUGUGCGGUUCUGGAUCGGAAACAUUUCUCCAAGUCUUGAGGAUCAUCAAUAAGCCCAUUGGUUCAUCGGCUAUACCUGCUCCAGGGUCACAAUGGAAUAGUGCCAAUCUCCAGCAAUCAUCAGGUACUUGGCCACGGAUGCCAUUGUUGCCCAAUUUCUCUAUUGCUAUUACAGUCAUGAACAGACCAUUUCUGAGGUAGGUGAGGCCUGCUGUGCUGUAGAUGUUGCUCUAGGUCAUAGUACUAACUCCUGGGAUGAGUUGUUGAUGCCCUCUUGGAGUAAUUUUGGUAGUUUAACCACUCUUGGGAAGGCUUUUGCAACAUUUUCUGCAAUGGUAGAUGCAGAUAACUUUGUUAUUCACUUUUUUGGUAUUUACUACAUCAGGGAAUGUUGCAAGUUUCAUGUUUCUUAGUGCAAAAAACCCCUAUAUUUAAUAAAGAAGAUGCAAUAUGGUACACUGAUGAAACUAAACAUUAACCAAGUGCCUCAAACCACAUUUUUAGAAGUUAUUGUUGAUGAGAAACUAACUUGGAAACAACAUACUAGUAUGUAGAAAUAUAGUAAAAUCAAUUAAUUAUAUACUUCUAAUACCACAUUAGAAGUAGAUAACUUUUAUUAUAAAAAUAUAAAAUUAACUGUAUGGAUAAG
Molecule: long non-coding RNA, 939 nt
Organism: Gambusia affinis (western mosquitofish)
Lineage: Eukaryota; Metazoa; Chordata; Actinopteri; Cyprinodontiformes; Poeciliidae
Exons: 3
Source: RefSeq, a predicted model, not a curated record